Molecule: ribosomal RNA, 649 nt
Filed under: uncultured bacterium
Lineage: Bacteria
Description: bacterial SSU rRNA
Rfam family: Bacterial small subunit ribosomal RNA
Source: RNAcentral
CAGGCCUAACACAUGCAAGUCGAGGGGUAACAGAGGGUGCUUGCACCUUGCUGACGACCGGCGCACGGGUGCGUAACGCGUAUGCAACCUACCUUCCACAGGGGGAUAGCCCAGAGAAAUUUGGAUUAAUACCCCAUACGAUCAUUGUUUAGCAUUAAACAGUGAGGAAAACCUUGGUGGUGGAAGAUGGGCAUGCGUCCUAUUAGUUAGUUGGUGAGGUAACGGCUCACCAAGACGUCGAUAGGUAGGGGCCCUGAGAGGGGGAUCCCCCACACUGGUACUGAGACACGGACCAGACUCCUACGGGAGGCAGCAGUGAGGAAUAUUGGACAAUGGAGGCAACUCUGAUCCAGCCAUGCCGCGUGCAGGAAGACUGCCCUAUGGGUUGUAAACUGCUUUUAUACAGGAAGAAUCGGUGCUACGUGUAGUGCUUUGACGGUACUGUAAGAAUAAGGAUCGGCUAACUCCGUGCCAGCAGCCGCGGUAAUACGGAGGAUCCAAGCGUUAUCCGGAAUCAUUGGGUUUAAAGGGUCCGUAGGUGGUUGAUUAAGUCAGAGGUGAAAGCCUAUCGCUCAACGAUAGAACUGCCUUUGAUACUGAUUGACUUGAGUUAUUGUGAAGUAGUUAGAAUAUGUAGUGUAGCGGUGAA